CGGGGCGUAGCGCAGCCCGGUAGCGCACUCGUCUGGGGGGCGAGGGGUCGCAAGUUCAAAUCUUGUCGCCCCGA
This 74-nucleotide transfer RNA is filed under the name Prolixibacteraceae bacterium. RNAcentral describes it as "tRNA-Pro". It matches the Rfam family "tRNA". Rfam says of the family: Transfer RNA (tRNA) molecules are approximately 80 nucleotides in length. Their secondary structure includes four short double-helical elements and three loops (D, anti-codon, and T loops). The record is from RNAcentral. Lineage: Bacteria; Pseudomonadati; Bacteroidota; Bacteroidia; Marinilabiliales; Prolixibacteraceae. RNAcentral also lists the same sequence under 1 other name.